This 185-nucleotide ribosomal RNA is filed under the name Vibrio splendidus. RNAcentral describes it as "partial 16S ribosomal RNA". It matches the Rfam family "Bacterial small subunit ribosomal RNA", at positions 1 to 166 of the family's 1533-position model. The record is from RNAcentral. RNAcentral also lists the same sequence under 1 other name. Lineage: Bacteria; Pseudomonadati; Pseudomonadota; Gammaproteobacteria; Vibrionales; Vibrionaceae.
CUUAAAUUGAAGAGUUUGAUCAUGGCUCAGAUUGAACGCUGGCGGCAGGCCUAACACAUGCAAGUCGAGCGGAAACGACACUAACAAUCCUUCGGGUGCGUUAAUGGGCGUCGAGCGGCGGACGGGUGAGUAAUGCCUAGGAAAUUGCCUUGAUGUGGGGGAUAACCAUUGGAAACGAUGGCUAA